RNAcentral lists this ribosomal RNA (866 nucleotides) under uncultured Streptococcus sp. RNAcentral describes it as "bacterial SSU rRNA". It matches the Rfam family "Bacterial small subunit ribosomal RNA". The record is from RNAcentral. Lineage: Bacteria; Bacillati; Bacillota; Bacilli; Lactobacillales; Streptococcaceae.
GACGAACGCGGGCGGCGUGCGUAAUACAUGCAAGUAGAACGCUGAAGGAGGAGCUUGCUUCUCUGGAUGAGUUGCGAACGGGUGAGUAACGCGUAGGUAACCUGCCUGGUAGCGGGGGAUAACUAUUGGAAACGAUAGCUAAUACCGCAUAAGAGUAGAUGUUGCAUGACAUUUGCUUAAAAGGUGCAAUUGCAUCACUACCAGAUGGACCUGCGUUGUAUUAGCUAGUUGGUGGGGUAACGGCUCACCAAGGCGACGAUACAUGGCCGACCUGAGAGGGUGAUCGGCCACACUGGGACUGAGACACGGCCCAGACUCCUACGGGAGGCAGCAGUAGGGAAUCUUCGGCAAUGGACGGAAGUCUGACCGAGCAACGCCGCGUGAGUGAAGAAGGUUUUCGGAUCGUAAAGCUCUGUUGUAAGAGAAGAACGAGUGUGAGAGUGGAAAGUUCACACUGUGACGGUAUCUUACCAGAAAGGGACGGCUAACUACGUGCCAGCAGCCGCGGUAAUACGUAGGUGGCAAGCGUUAUCCGGAUUUAUUGGGCGUAAAGAGAGUGCAGGCGGUUUUCUAAGUCUGAUGUGAAAGCCUUCGGCUUAACCGGAGAAGUGCAUCGGAAACUGGAUAACUUGAGUGCAGAAGAGGGUAGUGGAACUCCAUGUGUAGCGGUGGAAUGCGUAGAUAUAUGGAAGAACACCAGUGGCGAAGGCGGCUACCUGGUCUGCAACUGACGCUGAGACUCGAAAGCAUGGGUAGCGAACAGGAUUAGAUACCCUGGUAGUCCAAGGGCGAAUUCCACAUUGGGCUGCAGCCCGGGGGAUCCACUAGUUCAAGACCGGCACGUCACGAGCAUGAGCUAUCAUCGU